RNAcentral lists this ribosomal RNA (622 nucleotides) under Chaetoceros cf. neogracilis clade III. RNAcentral's name for it is "eukaryotic LSU rRNA". It matches the Rfam family "Eukaryotic large subunit ribosomal RNA", at positions 79 to 723 of the family's 3401-position model. Lineage: Eukaryota; Bacillariophyta; Thalassiosirophyceae; Chaetocerotales; Chaetocerotaceae. The record is from RNAcentral.
CUCAGUAAGGGCGACUGAAGCGGGAACAGCUCAUUCUGUGAAUCUCUGCUUCGGCAGCGAGUUGUGGAAAGGCAUGUCAGCUAAGCUACUGGUCUAAGUCUCUUGGAAAAGAGCGCUUGAAAGGGUGACAGCCCCGUCUUUGACUGGUUAGCUGUGGCUUUAGCACAUGUUUUAUACGAGUCGAGUUGCUUGGGAUUGCAGCUCUAAGUGGGUGGUAAAUUCCAUCUAAAGCUAAAUAUUGGUGGGACACCGAUAGCGUACAAGUACCGUGAGGGAAAGAUGCAAAGAACUUUGAAAAGAGAGUUAAAGAGUACCUGAAAUUGCUGAAAUGGAAGCGAAGGAAACCAGUGCCAUUCUUCACUAUUUUUCUGUUCCUACUUGUGGGAACAGCGCUGUGGUGUUGAAUAGGCCAGCGUGGGUUUGUACCGGGGGAUAACACUCAUCAGAAGGCAGCUAGAUUUCCUAGCGAUUGCUGUUGAGCUGUGCUCUGGUACAGACUGAGGCUAGUCACUUGUGCUCGUGACGCUGGCGAAAUGGUUUUCUUCACCCCGUCUUGAAACACGGACCAAGGAGUCUAACAUAUGUGCGAGUAUUGGAGUGGCAAACUCAAAUGCGAAAUGAA